CUACGGGACGCUGCAGUGGGGAAUAUUGGACAAUGGGGGAAACCCUGAUCCAGCAAUGCCGCGUGUGUGAAGAAGGCCUGCGGGUUGUAAAGCACUUUCGGUUGGGAGGACUGCUUCUAGCACUAAUAUUGUUGGAAGUUGACGUUACCUUCAGAAGAAGCACCGGCUAACUCCGUGCCAGCAGCCGCGGUAAUACGGAGGGUGCAAGCGUGAAUCGGAAUUACUGGGCGUAAAGCGCGCGUAGGCGGCUAGAUCAGUCGGGUGUGAAAGCCCCGGGCUUAACCUGGGAACUGCAUCCGAUACUGGCUAGCUUGAGUACAGGAGAGGAGAGUGGAAUUCCACAUGUAGCGGUGAAAUGCGUAGAUAUGUGGAGGAACACCAAUGGCGAAGGCAGCUCUCUGGCCUGAUACUGACGCUGAGGUGCGAAAGCGUGGGGAGCAAACAGGAUUAGAUACCCUAGUAGUC
RNAcentral lists this ribosomal RNA (465 nucleotides) under uncultured bacterium. RNAcentral describes it as "partial 16S ribosomal RNA". It matches the Rfam family "Bacterial small subunit ribosomal RNA", at positions 339 to 795 of the family's 1533-position model. The record is from RNAcentral.